CGCCGUCGUCUCACUUGCAGGUGCAGGGGUCGCAGGUGCAGUUGGCGCCGCACUUGCACCCGCCAUUCUCAGCUCCGGCGGCCGCCUCGAACCCGCCCUUGGAUGGUGCAACACCCAUGAUGACAGUCUGGGUGGUGGUCACCUGCUCUGCCAUGUCCGGGUACAUCUUGCACCUGCAUACAGAGAGACAGAUCGAUGAGCACGACGGGGGAAAAAACCAUACAUACCAUACCCACCUAUGUGCAUGCAAUUGCAUUGCAUGCAUACUCCCUCCAAAAUCAAAGAUCCUACCACACAGCAGGUUGAUAAAAUCAUGACAUACUCUUAUCUUAUCUAUCUAUCUAUCCCCGCAGUAUUUUUUUAAAAAAAAACAAUAUCUAAAAGAUAACAACACAACAUUUCUACGCAAGAACGAGGAACAGCCUGCCGGCAGCACAGGUCCGACCGUGUGAAUAUUGAAGGCGCUACUAGACGGAAACGGAGCCAUGGAACAGCAGAUCCGACUGCGAGGGAGGAACGCAACGGAACGGAACGGCAGUGCAGUGCGGUGCAGGCUUACCCUC
RNAcentral lists this long non-coding RNA (563 nucleotides) under Zea mays. RNAcentral's name for it is "long non-coding RNA (ZMAY_LNC001456)". The record is from RNAcentral. Lineage: Eukaryota; Viridiplantae; Streptophyta; Magnoliopsida; Poales; Poaceae.